RNAcentral lists this unclassified non-coding RNA (240 nucleotides) under soil metagenome. Its description in RNAcentral is "partial contains 5.8S ribosomal RNA, internal transcribed spacer 2, and large subunit ribosomal RNA". The record is from RNAcentral.
AAGACUAUAGACCUGCGGAGUACCUGCGGAAGGAUCAUUACUGAAGUGAUUUGGGGAUGUUGCUGGCCCUCUCUCAAGGGGGGCACUGUGCACUCCUCGAAACAAUUCACAAUUUCCAUCACACCCCUUGUGCACACCUUGUAGGCACCCAAACCCACCUCCGGGUUGGUGGGGUCCUAUGUAUUCCUUCAUCUCACACUCUGUUGAAUGGUGCCAUAGGACGCAUCUAAGGGAUUAUUU